CUACCGCCAGCCUCUCUGCUGUGGGAAGCUGGGGGGGGAGGGGGUGGGGGUCUUCUUUGAUUUGAAAUGGGUAUCUGUCUUACGAACAUGAAUAUGCUCUCAUUCCAGGGAUCAAGGCAUGAUUUUUUUUAAAUACUAAUUUUUAAACUCAAUGUAACAUAUACCUACACACACACACCCACACACACACACACCACGUACACACACACACACACACACACACACACACCACGUACACAUGAUAUGCUUUUCUCUCAUUCAUUUAGCUUGUUCUUAACCCUCUUUCCAGCUAAGCUUUUUCUUACUAAACUUAAAUUUUCACUUAAUGUUAUUCUUUCUAUUAAUCAUUUUUUUAUUGCGCUAUUUCACAUAACAUAAAAUUCACCAUUUUAAAGUAUACAGUUCAGUGGUUUUUCACAGGGUUGUAUAACCACCGCCACUAUCCAAUUCCAGAACAUUUCCAUCACCUUCAGAAGAAGCCCAAUACCCACCAGCAAUAGCUACCCUUCACCUGUCCUCUCCCCAGCCCCCGUGACCCCUAAUCUACUCUGCUCUGCUCUACUCUUCUCUCUCUCUCUCUCUCUCUCUCUCUCUGGAUUUGCCCGCUCUGGACAUGUCAUAUAAGUGGCAUAACAUGGCACGUGGCUUUUUGUGUCUGCCUUCUUUCACACGGCACAAUGUUUUCAGGGCUUAUCCAUGUGGGAGCACGUAUCUGUAUUUCAUCCUCUUUUUAUGGCCGAAAUAUGUUCCAGUAUAUGGAUGGACCACCUUAUGUCUAUCCAUUCAUCAGCUGAUGGACAUUUGGGUUGUUUCCACCUUUCAAGUCUUUGUAUGAACAUAUUCUCAGUUCUCUUGGGUAUAAAUCUAGAUGUGGAAUUGCUGAGUCAUGAUAACUUAUAUUUAUCUCUUGAAGGAACUGCCAGACUGUUCCGCAGUGGCUACACCAGCUUGUAUUCUCACCAGUAGCAUAUGAGGGUCCACUUUCUCCACAUCCUUGCCAACAUUAGUUGUUAUCCAUUUUUUUAAAAAAUUAUACACAUCCUAGUGGAUAUGAAGUAGUGCCGCAUUGUGAUUAUUUGCAUUUCCCUAACAACUAAUGAUGUUUAUGCCCGUUUUUAAUUGGGUUAUUUGUCUUUUUUGUUGAGUUGUAAGAAUUCUUCUUCAUAUAUUCUGCAUAGUAGACCCUUUUCAGAUACAUGAUUUACAAAUAUUUUCUCUUGUUCUCUGGGUUUUCAUUUUCUUAAUCACACACAUCGUUUUAAUUUUGAUGAAGUCCACUUUAUUUUUCUUCUAUUGAUUGUGCUUUUGGUGUCAUAGCUAAGGAACCAUUACCUAAUCCAAGGUCAGAGAUUAUUCUUUCCCUGUCUUUUUCUUUUUAUUGAAGUACAGUUGACUUUAUAUAUAUAUAUAUAUAUAUACACACACACACACACACACACACACACACACACAUUUAUUUAUUCAUGGGCUCAGUAGUUGUGGCUCAUAGGCUCUAGAGCGCAGGCUCAGUAGUUGUGGCACACGGGCUUAGUUGCUCCGUGGCAUGUGGGAUCUUCCUGGACCCACAGGGGAUUGAACCCGUGUCCCCUGCAUUGGCAGACGGAUUCUCAACCACUGUGCCACCAGGGAAGCCCUGACUUUUUAUUGAAGUAUAAUUGAAGUAUAAAUUAAUACAUUAGCUUCAGGUGUACAACAUAGUGAUUGGAUAUUUUUGUACAUGUUUUUUCCCUAUUGGUUCGUACUAGCAACCUGUCAAAAUCAAUUGGCCAUAGAUGUAUGGGUUUCUUUCUGGAUUCCCAAUUCUUUUCCACUGAUCUAAAUGUCUGUUCUUAUGCCAGUACAUUGUCUUGGUUACUGUUGUUUUGUAGUAAGUUUUGGAAUUGUGACAUCCAACUUCGUUCUUUUUCAAGAUUGUGUUGGCUAUUCUGGGUCCAUAUAAGUUUCAGAAUCAGCUUGUCCGUUUCUGCAAAAAAGGCAGUUGGAAUUGUGAUGGGGAUUCUAUUAAAUCUGUAGAUUGCUUUGGAAGGAGAAUUGACAUCCUAACAAUAUUUUUUCUUCUGUGAACAUGGAUGUCUUUCCAUUUAUUCAGACUGUCUUGUAUUCUUUUUAAACUGUGUCUCAUAUUGAUAGUUUUCAUUAUGCAAGCCUUUACACUUCUUUGGUUAAAUUUAUUCCUAAGUAUUUUAAGUUUGAUGCUAUUGUUAAUGGAAUUGUUUGUUCAUUGCUGGUGUGUAGAAAUAUAAUUAUGUAUUGAACUUGUAUCCUGCAACCUUGCUGAACUCAUUUAUUCUAAUAUUUUUUGUGUGGAUACUUCAGGGCUUUUUUAAUAUGUGACCAUGUCAUCUGCAGAUGCAGAUAGUUUUACUACUUACUUUUCCUAUUUGAAUGCCUUUUAUUUAUUUUUCUUGCCUAAUUGCUUUGGAUAGAAUUCGCAGUACAUUGUUGAAUACAAGUGGUAAGAACAGGCAUCCUUGUCUUGUUCCUGAUCUUGGGGGAAGCCUUACAGUCACUUAAGUUUCUCUUAGAUGCUGUUUACUAGACUGAAGAAAUUCCCUUCUAUUCCUAGUUUUUUGUUUUGUUUAGUUUCGUUUUGGUUUUAGUGUUUUUAUUAUGAAAGAGUGUUGGAUUCUGUUUAAAUGCUUUUUCUACUGCAUUGAGAUAACUAUGUGCUUUUUGUCCAUCAAUAAUGGUGCAUUAUGUUGAUUUUUUUUUUUUUUUUUAAUGUUGAAUCACCCUUGCAUUCUUGGGAUAAAUACCACUUGGUCAUGGUGUAUAACGCUCUUUAUAUGCUGCUGGAAUUUAUAUGUUUGCUGGAAUUUUCUUGAGGAUUUUUCCAUCUUUAUUCAUAGGAAAUUGGUCUGCCAUUUUCUUUUGACGAUUUUGUCUGGUUUUGGUGUCGGGCUAGUUCUGGCCUCAUAGAAUGUGAAUUAGGAAAGUCAUUUAUUUGUGAGUCCUGCUUCAAGUUAGUCCAGAAUACAUUCUCAGUUUCUAAUAACAAAACUAAUCUGCUGCUCUGCACGUAGGAGUGUUCUUCACUCCUCAUUCCUCACCGGAAGGAGGAGGCUUCCGUUAGGGUGGAGGCUUAGGUUGCCCCCAGACCCUGGUGUGGGGCUCUGCCCUCGGUCGGGGACCUGCUUUUCGGAGCUGAGCUCCCCACCAGCCCCUGAGCCAGUUUUUAGUGCAGAGCCGGCUCCCCGUGGGGGGCUGACCCCUCCCCUGCCCUCCACAGUAGGAGUCAGCUUGGCUCGGGAAGGCAGCCUCUGCAUCUGUGCCCCGGGCGUGGCCAGCAGCGUCCUCAUCCUGCUCUGGACUCUGGGCCAGUCACCACACCAGAGGCCUCUCCAGCUCUCCUUGACCAGGAUGGGCUUCCCUUACGUGGGGGGCGGCCCUUUCCGUCCAGGGAGGAGGGGCUGCGCAUGUGAGCGGCCUGGUGACUGUCCGAUUCCAUGGGAUCGGGAAGCUGUGGAGCUAAAGGAGAGCUGAGAAACGGUUGACCACCUACUCUCGGGGGGAGGAAGCGGCCCAGAGGCCACACGACGGGCUUAGAGUUCACCAAAGGUGGGUCAGCGGCAGGGUGACGGGCACCAUCCCCAUCCUGUUUGUGAGCAGACGGUGUUGUCCACCGUGUCUGGGCCCAUGACACUCCCUCUGCUCAUUCUUUGCGGUGAUCAGUGUUCAAGAUGCGCCGUCAGGCAUCUAAGAAGAUUUAGUCAAAGGAAUCAGUUAUGCACGAUUUCUAAUAUUUGUAGUAGAAUUGUCAGUUUUAAUACUAGGUGAUCAAGAGCAGAAA
Long non-coding RNA from Orcinus orca (killer whale), 3790 nucleotides. RefSeq lists it as uncharacterized. The record is from RefSeq and is a predicted model, not a curated record. Lineage: Eukaryota; Metazoa; Chordata; Mammalia; Artiodactyla; Delphinidae. The transcript is spliced from 2 exons.